CGGCGCGUCCAUGGUACAGCCGCGACUAGACGGGGCGAAGCGGCGACUGGGAAAGGACAGGAGUCAGUCAGCUGUAGCAGUGACAGAAGAAAGGCAGCUUCUACCUGCACCGAGCAUCGCCAAGCAGUACCAGAGAAGCACGAGAAUACGAAAGGCGAGUCCAGCGGUGCCAGCCUCCCCUCAGUCGGACUUACUACUACUGCCUUCACAACACCCUCCCAGUAGUGCCUUGUACUCGUGUAUUUUUGUUAUCCAUCCAUCCUGGUGAGAAAGCAGGAGGCAGCUGCAGGGAAGACAUUGUUGAUAUUGUGCCCUCUACGCGUGAGCCGCCCCUCGCUGAACCACACCGCCGGACUCUGAACGUGAGGGGAAAUCUGCUGCAGUUCCCCUCCUCCCUCAUGAUGUGACACAAACACCACAAUGGCUGGUGUGUAGUAGUAGAUACGAGAGAGUUAGUUCAUAAGUGUGUGUGUGUGUACUCAACGGCGACGAGAUUCGUUCAAUGGAUGAGAGAGAAGAGCAUUUUUAGUUAUUUUCCCAGCCCCUCUCAUGCCCCCUCAUCUAAAAUUAUGAUUUUUUCUUUAGACAGGUGUGACCCCCGCUGACCGGAAGAGACGGUUGCAUCGCGGUUCACACAGGCAUGACGCGCUAGAUGAUCGACGAUCGAUUUUUUCUUCUAGACAGGUGACCCCCGCUGACCGGAAGAGACGGUUGUCGGUUCCACACAGGACGCGCUAGAUGAUUCCAUUCACACAUUCUGUCAAGAGGACAUAACACAAAAAACGGAUGAUGGAAUGGAAUAAAAAAAAAUUGUCAAAUA
Scylla paramamosain (green mud crab) is the source of this 820-nucleotide long non-coding RNA. RefSeq lists it as uncharacterized. NCBI's taxonomy places the organism in Eukaryota, Metazoa, Arthropoda, Malacostraca, Decapoda, Portunidae. The record is from RefSeq and is a predicted model, not a curated record. The transcript has 5 exons.